This 452-nucleotide ribosomal RNA is filed under the name uncultured organism. RNAcentral's name for it is "partial 16S ribosomal RNA". It matches the Rfam family "Bacterial small subunit ribosomal RNA", at positions 332 to 800 of the family's 1533-position model. The record is from RNAcentral.
UACACUCCUACGGGAGGCAGCAGUGGGGAAUAUUGGACAAUGGGCGCAAGCCUGAUCCAGCCAUGCCGAGUGAGUGAUGAAGGCCCUAGGGUUGUAAAGCUCUUUCACCGGUGAAGAUAAUGACGGUAACCGGAGAAGAAGCCCCGGCUAACUUCGUGCCAGCAGCCGCGGUAAUACGAAGGGGGCUAGCGUUGUUCGGAUUUACUGGGCGUAAAGCGCACGUAGGCGGACUAUUAAGUCAGGGGUGAAAUCCCGGGGCUCAACCCCGGAACUGCCUUUGAUACUGGUAGUCUUGAGUUCGAGAGAGGUGAGUGGAAUUCCGAGUGUAGAGGUGAAAUUCGUAGAUAUUCGGAGGAACACCAGUGGCGAAGGCGGCUCACUGGCUCGAUACUGACGCUGAGGUGCGAAAGCGUGGGGAGCAAACAGGAUUAGAAACCCUAGUAGUCCCAUGA